UUAUAAGAGACAGCAGUAGCCACGGGAAUACGGAGGGAGCUAGCGUUGUUCGGAAUUACUGGGCGUAAAGCGCGCGUAGGCGGUUACUCAAGUCAGAGGUGAAAGCCCGGGGCUCAACCCCGGAACUGCCUUUGAAACUAGGUAACUAGAAUCUUGGAGAGGUCAGUGGAAUUCCGAGUGUAGAGGUGAAAUUCGUAGAUAUUCGGAAGAACACCAGUGGCGAAGGCGACUGACUGGACAAGUAUUGACGCUGAGGUGCGAAAGCGUGGGGAGCAAACAGGAAUAGAUACCCCUGUAGUCCCUGUCUCUUAUAC
RNAcentral lists this ribosomal RNA (314 nucleotides) under uncultured bacterium. RNAcentral describes it as "partial 16S ribosomal RNA". It matches the Rfam family "Bacterial small subunit ribosomal RNA", at positions 499 to 807 of the family's 1533-position model. The record is from RNAcentral.